RNAcentral lists this ribosomal RNA (253 nucleotides) under uncultured bacterium. Its description in RNAcentral is "partial 16S ribosomal RNA". It matches the Rfam family "Bacterial small subunit ribosomal RNA", at positions 524 to 776 of the family's 1533-position model. The record is from RNAcentral.
UACAGAGGGUGCGAGCGUUAAUCGGAAUUACUGGGCGUAAAGCGCACGUAGGUGGCGACGUAAGUCGGGUGUGAAAGCCCCGGGCUCAACCUGGGAAUUGCAUUCGAGACUGCAUUGCUGGAGUACGGAAGAGGAGGGCGGAAUUCCCGGUGUAGCGGUGAAAUGCGUAGAUAUCGGGAGGAACAUCAGUGGCGAAGGCGGCCCUCUGGACCAGCACUGACGCUGAGGCACGAAAGCGUGGGGAGCAAACAGG